UACGAGAGGCCCAAACGUUAUUCGGAAUUACUGGGCUUAAAGAGUCCGUAGGCGGCGCGGAAAGUGGGGUGUGAAAUCCUUCGGCCCAACCGAGGAAUUGCGCUUCAAACCGGCAAGCUAGAGGAGGAUAGAGGUGGGCGGAACUGAUGGUGGAGCGGUGAAAUGCGUUGAUAUCAUCAGGAACACCGGAGGCGAAGGCGGUCCACUGGGUCCUAUCUGACGCUGAGGGACGAAAGCUAGGGGAGCGAACGGG
RNAcentral lists this ribosomal RNA (253 nucleotides) under uncultured bacterium. RNAcentral describes it as "partial 16S ribosomal RNA". It matches the Rfam family "Bacterial small subunit ribosomal RNA", at positions 524 to 776 of the family's 1533-position model. The record is from RNAcentral.